RNAcentral lists this signal recognition particle RNA (297 nucleotides) under Suricata suricatta (meerkat). RNAcentral's name for it is "Metazoan signal recognition particle RNA (ENSSSUG00005004306.1)". It matches the Rfam family "Metazoan signal recognition particle RNA". Rfam says of the family: The signal recognition particle (SRP) is a universally conserved ribonucleoprotein. It is involved in the co-translational targeting of proteins to membranes. The eukaryotic SRP consists of a 300-nucleotide 7S RNA and six proteins: SRPs 72, 68, 54, 19, 14, and 9. The record is from Rfam by way of RNAcentral. Lineage: Eukaryota; Metazoa; Chordata; Mammalia; Carnivora; Herpestidae.
GCUGGGCAGGUGGCAUGUGCCUGGAGUCCCCAGCUACUCAGAAGGCUGAAGCAGGAGGCUGCUUGAGCCCAGGAGUUCUGGGCUGUAGUGUGCUAUGCUGAUCGGGUGUCUGCACUAAGUUGGGCAUCAAUAUGGUGACCUUCUGGGAGCAGGGGGCCACCAGGUUGCCUAAGGAGGGGUGCACCAGCCCAGGUCAGAAACGAAGCAGGUCAAAACUCCCGUGCUAAUCUCUAGAAACUUCUCUCUUGGCUUUUUGUCUGUACCUCCAGAAUGAGCCUGCAUUAAAAUGACUUUCAU